UACAGAGGUCCCAAGCGUUGUUCGGAUUCACUGGGCGUAAAGGGUGCGUAGGUGGCGGGGUAAGUCUGAUGUGAAAGCUUCGAGCUCAACUCGAAAAUGGCAUUGGAUACUAUCCCGCUGGAGGUUUGGAGGGGGGACUGGAAUUCUCGGUGUAGCAGUGAAAUGCGUAGAUAUCGAGAGGAACACCGGUGGCGAAGGCGAGUCCCUGGACAACACCUGACACUGAGGCACGAAAGCUAGGGGAGCAAACAGG
This 253-nucleotide ribosomal RNA is filed under the name uncultured bacterium. RNAcentral's name for it is "partial 16S ribosomal RNA". It matches the Rfam family "Bacterial small subunit ribosomal RNA", at positions 524 to 776 of the family's 1533-position model. The record is from RNAcentral.